CUACAAAUGAAUUGACGGGUCCCUGCACAAGCAGCGGAGCGUGUGGUUUAAUCGUUGCUACACGAAGAACCUUACCUGGGUUUGACAUAGCAGUGGUAGGGAAGCGAAAGCGGACGACCUUCGGGGAGCUGUUACAGGUGUUGCAUGGCUGUCGUCAGCUCGUGUCGUGAGAUGUUCGGUUAGGUCCGCUAACGAGCGCAACCCGCGUUGUGUGUUACAAGUGUCACACAAUACCGCCGGUAUUAAGUCGGAGGAAGGUGCGGAUGACGUCAAGUCAGCAUGACCUUUAUAUCCAGGGCUACACACACGCUACAAUGGUCAGCACAAUAGGUUGCCAAGUCGUGAGACGGAGCCAAUCCUCCAAAGCUGGCCUCAGUUCAGAUUGUAGGCUGCAACCCGCCUGCAUGAAGUUGGAGUUGCUAGUAAACGCAGGUCAGCCAUACUCGCGUUCCGAAUACGUUCCGGGCCUU
This 470-nucleotide ribosomal RNA is filed under the name uncultured Anaerolineaceae bacterium. RNAcentral's name for it is "bacterial SSU rRNA". It matches the Rfam family "Bacterial small subunit ribosomal RNA", at positions 903 to 1382 of the family's 1533-position model. Lineage: Bacteria; Bacillati; Chloroflexota; Anaerolineae; Anaerolineales; Anaerolineaceae. The record is from RNAcentral.